GACGAACGCUGGCGGCGCGCCUAACACAUGCAAGUCGAACGAGCGAGAGAGAGCUUGCUUUCUUGAGCGAGAGGCGAACGGGUGAGUAACGCGUGAGGAACCUGCCUCAAAGAGGGGGACAACAGUUGGAAACGACUGCUAAUACCGCAUAAGCCCACGGUGCCGCAUGGCACAGAGGGAAAAGGAGCAAUCCGCUUUGAGAUGGCCUCGCGUCCGAUUAGCUAGUUGGUGAGGUAACGGCCCACCAAGGCGACGAUCGGUAGCCGGACUGAGAGGUUGAACGGCCACAUUGGGACUGAGACACGGCCCAGACUCCUACGGGAGGCAGCAGUGGGGAAUAUUGCACAAUGGGGGAAACCCUGAUGCAGCGACGCCGCGUGGAGGAAGAAGGUCUUCGGAUUGUAAACUCCUGUUGUUGGGGAAGAUAAUGACGGUACCCAACAAGGAAGUGACGGCUAACUACGUG
RNAcentral lists this ribosomal RNA (466 nucleotides) under uncultured bacterium. RNAcentral describes it as "partial 16S ribosomal RNA". It matches the Rfam family "Bacterial small subunit ribosomal RNA", at positions 28 to 507 of the family's 1533-position model. The record is from RNAcentral.